ACUGGGAAGGAACCGCGCUUGGAGUCCAGACAUCUGGAAUACGGAAGAGGAAGAGACACCAGGAGUACUCAUUCAAGAAAAGGCCAUGUGAGGACACAGGGAGAAGGCGGCCAUCUCCAAGCCAGGAAAAGAAGUCUCACUGAAAACCAGCUCUGCUAGCACCUUGAUCUUGGACUUCUCGCCUCCAGAACUAGAUGAGGUCUCACUGUGUUGCCCAGACUGGUCUUCAACUCAUGGGCUCAAGCUAUCCUCCUGCUUCAGCCUCCCAUUGUGCUCGGAUUUACAGCCCAUCUCAGCCUGGUUCAGAACUCUUCCUG
RNAcentral lists this long non-coding RNA (317 nucleotides) under Homo sapiens (human). RNAcentral's name for it is "HSALNT0327785". Lineage: Eukaryota; Metazoa; Chordata; Mammalia; Primates; Hominidae. The record is from RNAcentral.